AUUGAACGCUGGCGGCAGGCCUAACACAUGCAAGUCGAGCGGCAGCACGGGUACUUGUACCUGGUGGCGAGCGGCGGACGGGUGAGUAAUGCCUAGGAAUCUGCCUGGUAGUGGGGGAUAACGUCCGGAAACGGGCGCUAAUACCGCAUACGUCCUACGGGAGAAAGUGGGGGAUCUUCGGACCUCACGCUAUUAGAUGAGCCUAGGUCGGAUUAGCUAGUUGGUGAGGUAAUGGCUCACCAAGGCGACGAUCCGUAACUGGUCUGAGAGGAAGAGCAGUCACACUGGAACUGUGCCACGGUCCAGACUCCUACGGGAGGCAGAAGUGGGGAAUAUUGGACAAGGGGCGAAAGCCUGAUCCAGCCAUGCCGCGUGUGUGAAGAAGGUCUUCGGAUUGUAAAGCACUUUAAGUUGGGAGGAAGGGCAGUUACCUAAUACGUGAUUGUUUUGACGUUACCGACAGAAUAAGCACCGGCUAACUCUGUGCCAGCCGCCGCCGUAA
Molecule: ribosomal RNA, 502 nt
Filed under: uncultured bacterium
Lineage: Bacteria
Description: partial 16S ribosomal RNA
Rfam family: Bacterial small subunit ribosomal RNA
Source: RNAcentral